GAACAUCUUAGUGAGGGUCUGGCUUAUAUUGAGAAGAUAUCUGUAAAUCAACCAGACAGCAUCGUCCGCAGAAUAAAGAAAAGUACCCUAAGGAACCCAAAAUUGGACAAGAAAGGAGUAGUGCAUAAAUAAACCUAUAAGCAAUCACCACCAAGAAUGUUCUCCAGUUUGGGAAUUCAUAUUUAACCUAGUCAAAGCAGAUAAGUGGUAACAAGUUAGUGGGGUUCACAACAGAUGCAAGGUUAAGUCACAGAUCUUAGAAAACCCAUAGAAAGACAACCCCUCGCCCAGUAACAACAGUGCCUGCUAUUCCAGCUCACAAAUAGUAGGGCCAGGCCUUUGUCUAUAAAUCAUUUCUCUGUUAAUGUAGCCAAAGUCAAGACGAUUUUGAUUUUCAUCUGGAAGGGUUGGAUUGAGUAACACUAGAGAACAAACAUUGGUUAUAAAAAUAGUUUGUUUUACAGAGACCACUAAGAAUGUUCC
Molecule: non-coding RNA, 483 nt
Organism: Pelobates cultripes (western spadefoot toad)
Lineage: Eukaryota; Metazoa; Chordata; Amphibia; Anura; Pelobatidae
Source: the annotation of a GenBank genome assembly